UGGGGAAUUGUUCACAAUGGGCGCAAGCCUGAUCCAGCAAUGCCGCGUGAGUGAAGAAGGCCUUCGGGUUGUAAAGCUCUUUUGUCAGGGAAGAAACGGUAGUAGCGAAUAACUAUUACUAAUGACGGUACCUGAAGAAUAAGCACCGGCUAACUACGUGCCAGCAGCCGCGGUAAUACGUAGGGUGCAAGCGUUAAUCGGAAUUACUGGGCGUAAAGCGUGCGCAGGCGGUUGUGUAAGUCAGAUGUGAAAUCCCCGGGCUCAACCUGGGAAUUGCAUUUGAGACUGCACGGCUGGAGUGUGUCAGAGGGGGGUAGAAUUCCACGUGUAGCAGUGAAAUGCGUAGAUAUGUGGAGGAAUACCGAUGGCGAAGGCAGCCCCCUGGGAUAACACUGACGCUCAUGCACGAAAGCGUGGGGAGCAAACAGGAUUAGAUACCCAAGUAGUCCCUGAGCGGGCUGGCAAGGCGCAU
RNAcentral lists this ribosomal RNA (472 nucleotides) under uncultured bacterium. Its description in RNAcentral is "bacterial SSU rRNA". It matches the Rfam family "Bacterial small subunit ribosomal RNA", at positions 355 to 825 of the family's 1533-position model. The record is from RNAcentral.